RNAcentral lists this non-coding RNA (26 nucleotides) under Mus musculus (house mouse). Lineage: Eukaryota; Metazoa; Chordata; Mammalia; Rodentia; Muridae. The record is from RNAcentral.
UGUUUUGGAUGUAUUUAAGUGGCAAG